GUGCUUGAUUUAUCAGUACAUAAACUAAAAUUGGAUUGAUAUAGACAAGAUUAGGUUGGCCCUUGUGUAAGUUUGUGAAAUGUUCCAUAUUGAA
Molecule: small nuclear RNA, 94 nt
Organism: Ictidomys tridecemlineatus (thirteen-lined ground squirrel)
Lineage: Eukaryota; Metazoa; Chordata; Mammalia; Rodentia; Sciuridae
Source: Ensembl